CUAACCUUGUGCCAUUCAGUACACUUGUUGUCUGUGGGUACCAUCCACUGAAGAUGGUAUCCCUCUCAUGUGCUGCUUUCUGAAACAUGGUGAAUCCAGAGCUGUGGAAAUCCAGAUGCACAGGCCAGUGCUUCUGAAGAGACAGAGAAGCUCGUGUUUACAUGGUGUGGAUUCUAUCUUAACGUGAAGAUACAAAGAUAUCUAUGUGCCAUUCAAGGAGAAGUAUUAACAUCCUGGAAUGUCAAAUUUA
Peromyscus maniculatus bairdii (prairie deer mouse) is the source of this 250-nucleotide non-coding RNA. The record is from RefSeq and is a predicted model, not a curated record. NCBI's taxonomy places the organism in Eukaryota, Metazoa, Chordata, Mammalia, Rodentia, Cricetidae.